Molecule: ribosomal RNA, 253 nt
Filed under: uncultured bacterium
Lineage: Bacteria
Description: partial 16S ribosomal RNA
Rfam family: Bacterial small subunit ribosomal RNA
Source: RNAcentral
UACGUAGGGCGCAAGCGUUGUCCGGAAUUAUUGGGCGUAAAGAGCGUGUAGGCGGCCAGGUAGGUCUGCUGUGAAAACUCGAGGCUUAACCUCGAGAUGUCGGCGGAAACCAUCUGGCUAGAGUCCGGAAGAGGAGAGUGGAAUUCCUGGUGUAGCGGUGAAAUGCGCAGAUAUCAGGAAGAACACCCGUGGCGAAGGCGGCUCUCUGGGACGGUACUGACGCUGAGACGCGAAAGCGUGGGGAGCGAACAGG